Molecule: long non-coding RNA, 1067 nt
Organism: Callithrix jacchus (white-tufted-ear marmoset)
Lineage: Eukaryota; Metazoa; Chordata; Mammalia; Primates; Cebidae
Source: RefSeq, a predicted model, not a curated record
CACAGCCCUAAACAAAGGGGCAAGGCUUGGGGCUAAAAACAGGAGGACCUGUUGAAAGCCCAUAAAUGGAGCAGCUGAACCUCCAUAGCCCUUCCUGACCUCACAGUGCCUCCUUCCCUGCACCCACAUGGAAUGGGGACACAGGACAUUUCACUAUCUCUAACACUUUCUUUUAAGUAUAUCUGAAUUAUUUUCUUUAUUCUUAGAACGUUUUCUGCAGGCAGGCAGGAUAAAACAGCUUCACUUUUAACUCAUUCCAAAUUUUAACUUCAGGAUUGAGGUAUCUUAAAAUCAAGCUGCCCCGGCUGUCACAUCAAGAUUCUGACACUUAAUAGCUAUGGAGCUCUGAGACUGCUUUCUCAUUUUUACAAUGCAAAUAAUGUUAUGAGAAACUUGCAGGGUUUGUUGAGAGGCAUAAAGAAGAAAAUCCAUGUACAACCAUUUACCCCGGUGCCCGCUGAACUACCCUGACAGGGAACGGGGUGAGAAGGCCAUCAGUUUGCAGCCAUCAAGGUAAUAGUUGACACAGUUGGGGAAUAUGCUGAAUGCUAAUUUAGCAAGAGGCAAGAGGAAGCUGCUUGGAUUACAGGACAUGACGACUGGGACUGGGGCAGACAAGAAGAGUGAGCUCCUUUCAGGACAAUCCGGAGAACUGUGACAGCAAUGUUAAGGCUUCUCUUCCCUCCCUGGAGGAGUUGAGAAAUGAUUGUGGUCCCCGGCCUCUUCAUUUGUGCCAACAAGACAACCCAUGUGGAAGUGAUAAAAAGGAUUUCAACAUCCCUACCCAGAAGCCUUCCAGUAAAGAACAAAACCAGGGGUGACAUAUCUUUAUCAAUAACUGCCAGCUCGAAAGCUGUUCUGUCCUGGGCAAAUAUAUUAAUGUGUGUGCUUGCUGAGACUGCUUAGUGAAUUCGAGCCUCUGGAAAUUAGAAGUGCCGGUGAGGGGGAACAGUAUCAUGUGGAAGGCUGGCAAAACCUCGUGGCCCCUGCUGCCUGCUGCAGUUUUAUUGUUCUUAUAAUUGAAACAAUAAAUAAUAUGUCACGACCUUGAGGUGUCCACUGUGUCA